This 497-nucleotide ribosomal RNA is filed under the name uncultured bacterium. RNAcentral describes it as "partial 16S ribosomal RNA". It matches the Rfam family "Bacterial small subunit ribosomal RNA", at positions 28 to 507 of the family's 1533-position model. The record is from RNAcentral.
GAUGAACGCUGGCGGCGUGCCUAAUACAUGCAAGUCGAGCGAACAGAUGAGGAGCUUGCUCCUCUGACGUUAGCGGCGGACGGGUGAGUAACACGUGGAUAACCUACCUAUAAGACUGGGAUAACUUCGGGAAACCGGAGCUAAUACCGGAUAAUAUAUUGAACCGCAUGGUUCAAUAGUGAAAGACGGUUUUGCUGUCACUUAUAGAUGGAUCCGCGCCGCAUUAGCUAGUUGGUAAGGUAACGGCUUACCAAGGCAACGAUGCGUAGCCGACCUGAGAGGGGGAUCGGCCACACUGGAACUGAGACACGGUCCAGACUCCUACGGGAGGCAGCAGUAGGGAAUCUUCCGCAAAGGGCGAAAGCCUGACGGAGCAACGCCGCGUGAGUGAUGAAGGUCUUCGGAUCGUAAAACUCUGUUAUUAGGGAAGAACAAAUGUGUAAGUAACUAUGCACGUCUUGACGGUACCUAAUCAGAAAGCCACGGCUAACUACGUG